AGUAAAUAGAUACCCCGGUAGUCCACGCCGUAAACGAUGUCGACUUGGAGGUUGUGCCCUUGAGGCGUGGCUUCCGGAGCUAAACGCGUUAAAGUCGACCGCCUGGGGAGUACGGCCGCAAGGUUAAAACUCAAAUGAAUUGACGGGGGCCCGCACAAGCGGUGGAGCAUGUGGUUUAAUUCGAUGCAACUCGAAGAACCUUACCUACUCUUGACAUCCAGAGAACUUAGCAGAGAUGCUUUGGUGCCUUCGGGAACUCUGAGACAGGUGCUGCAUGGCUGUCGUCAGCUCGUGUUGUGAAAUGUUGGGUUAAGUCCCGCAACGAGCGCAACCCUUAUCCUUUGUUGCCAGCGGUCCGGCCGGGAACUCAAAGGAGACUGCCAGUGAUAAACUGGAGGAAGGUGGGGAUGACGUCAAGUCAUCAUGGCCCUUACGAGUAGGGCUACACACGUGCUACAAUGGCGCAUACAAAGAGAAGCGACCUCGCGAGAGCAAGCGGACCUCAUAAAGUGCGUCGUAGUCCGG
RNAcentral lists this ribosomal RNA (525 nucleotides) under uncultured bacterium. Its description in RNAcentral is "bacterial SSU rRNA". It matches the Rfam family "Bacterial small subunit ribosomal RNA", at positions 774 to 1296 of the family's 1533-position model. The record is from RNAcentral.